UUCCGUGCAUAAGAAGCCGAAUGAGGAAGACAAACAUAAAGAUGAAGUGCUUAAUUCAAGGUCACACAAUGUCGGGGAUGGACCUCCAGAUUUCCUUACUGGUGAGACGUGGUCUUGUAACACAGUGGUUAAGAAUGUGACUUUGGAGCCAGCCUGCUAGGGGCUGAAUUCUGACUCAGCCAUUUACUAACUGUGUGACCUUAGGUCACAGAAUUUUCCACACUCCUUGACGGAGGUGCUUAACCCUUAUCCAUCAGCAUUCUCAGACAGCACCUCCGGUUAGGGACAGUAUCUGACCGUCCGACAUCCCUGCAGCCCCCAUGUGUCACACAGACUCAGCCUCAGGUAGAUGGUUUCCGUAGAUGGUGGCUUUCUUUGGACCCUUGACAUCAACCAGUUACUAUUUGACUCUUCUGCAGAACCCCCUGUUGACCCCUGCUUUGAGGUGGCAGAGUUAACACUACUCUUCGUUAUAAGCUCUCGUCUGGGGCAACUCAGAAGAACGGGACCAGAUGUGCAGAGGUAAUGAAUACCAGGGAAUCAGGAAACCACUGGAUCAGUUCUUUGAGCCACAGAACAACACUCAUCCCAGCAGCUGGGAAGCUAUCUGCAAAAGUCCAUCUGCAGAAAGGGCUUCCUGGUCUUGCGUGUGGCUGGGCCAUUUCUCUGGAUGCAGGUUUUUCAUUAUACAGUCUUCUCAAAGAAACACCUGCUCUCAACACC
RNAcentral lists this non-coding RNA (723 nucleotides) under Pan troglodytes (chimpanzee). The record is from RNAcentral. Lineage: Eukaryota; Metazoa; Chordata; Mammalia; Primates; Hominidae.